This 473-nucleotide ribosomal RNA is filed under the name uncultured bacterium. RNAcentral describes it as "partial 16S ribosomal RNA". It matches the Rfam family "Bacterial small subunit ribosomal RNA", at positions 28 to 507 of the family's 1533-position model. The record is from RNAcentral.
GGUGAACGCUGGCGGCGUGCCUAAGACAUGCAAGUCGAGCGGGCCGCGGGGUUUUACUCCGUGGUCAGCGGCGGACGGGUGAGUAACGCGUGGGUGACCUACCCGGAAGAGGGGGACAACCCGGGGAAACUCGGGCUAAUCCCCCAUGUGGACCCGCCCCUUGGGGUGUGUCCAAAGGGCUUUGCCCGCUUCCGGAUGGGCCCGCGUCCCAUCAGCUAGUUGGUGGGGUAAUGGCCCACCAAGGCGACGACGGGUAGCCGGCCUGAGAGGGUGGCCGGCCACAGGGGCACUGAGACACGGGCCCCACGCCUACGGGAGGCAGCAGUUAGGAAUCUUCCGCAAUGGGCGCAAGCCUGACGGAGCGACGCCGCUUGGAGGAAGAAGCCCUUCGGGGUGUAAACUCCUGAACCCGGGACGAAACCCCCGACGAGGGGACUGACGGUACCGGGGUAAUAGCGCCGGCCAACUCCGUG